GACAGAGGAUGCAAGCGUUAUCCGGAAUGAUUGGGCGUAAAGCGUCUGUAGGUGGCUUUUUAAGUCUGCCGUCAAAUCCCAGGGCUUAACCCUGGACAGGCGGUGGAAACUACCAAGCUGGAGUACGGUAGGGGCAGAGGGAAUUUCCGGUGGAGCGGUGAAAUGCGUAGAUAUUAGGAAGAACACCAGUGGCGAAGGCGCUCUACUGGGCCAUUACUGACGCUGAUGGACGAAAGCUAGGGGAGCGAAAGGG
This 253-nucleotide ribosomal RNA is filed under the name uncultured bacterium. RNAcentral's name for it is "partial 16S ribosomal RNA". It matches the Rfam family "Bacterial small subunit ribosomal RNA", at positions 524 to 776 of the family's 1533-position model. The record is from RNAcentral.